This 158-nucleotide small nuclear RNA is filed under the name Chelydra serpentina (North American snapping turtle). Its description in RNAcentral is "U1 spliceosomal RNA (ENSCSRG00000004896.1)". It matches the Rfam family "U1 spliceosomal RNA". From Rfam's summary of the family: U1 is a small nuclear RNA (snRNA) component of the spliceosome (involved in pre-mRNA splicing). Lineage: Eukaryota; Metazoa; Chordata; Testudines; Chelydridae. The record is from RNAcentral.
UCUCUCACCGACAGAUGAUACUAUGAUCAUGAGGUGGUUUUCCCAGGGUAAGGCUCAUCCAUUGCACUCCAGGUGUGCUGACUCCUGUGAUUUCCCCAAUUGCAGGAAACUCAACUACAUAACUUGUAGUAGUGGGAGACUAUUUGCAUUUUCCCCUG